Molecule: ribosomal RNA, 497 nt
Filed under: uncultured bacterium
Lineage: Bacteria
Description: partial 16S ribosomal RNA
Rfam family: Bacterial small subunit ribosomal RNA
Source: RNAcentral
GAUGAACGCUGGCGGCGUGCCUAAUACGUGCGAGUCGAGCGAACAGACGAGGAGAUUGCUCCUCUGACGUUAGCGGCGGACGGGUGAGUAACAAGUGGAUAACCUACCUAUAAGACUGGGAUAACAUCGGGAAACAGGAGAUAAUAACGGAUAAUAUAAUGAACCGCAUGGUUCAAUAGUGAAAGACGGUUUUGCUGUCACUUAUAGAUGGAUCCGCGCCGCAUUAGCUAGUUGGUAAGGUAACGGCUUACCAAGGCAACGAUGCGUAGCCGACCUGAGAGGGUGAUCGGCCACACUGGAACUGAGACACGGUCCAGACUCCUACGGGAGGCAGCAGUAGGGAAUCUUCCGCAGUGGGCGAAAGCCUGACGGAGCAACGCCGCGUGAGUGAUGAAGGUCUUCGGAUCGUAAAACUCUUUUAUUAGGGAAGAACAAAUGUGUAAGUAACUAUGCACGUCUUGACGGUACCUAAUCAGAAAGCCACGGCUAACUACGUG